CCUACGGGGGGCAGCAGUGAGGAAUAUUGGUCAAUGGCCGGGAGGCUGAACCAGUCAAGUCGCGUGAGGGAAGACGGCCCUACGGGUUGUAAACCUCUUUUGUCAGGGAGCAAGGGGCAGGGCGGGACCGGCGGUGAGAGUACCUGAAGAAAAAGCAUCGGCGAACUCCGUGCCAGCAGCCGCGGUAAUACGGAGGAUGCGAGCGUUAUCCGGAUUUAUGGGGGUGAAAGGGUGCGCAGGCGGAGGCACAAGUCAGCGGUAAAAUCGCGGGGCUCAACCCCGCUCCGCCGUUGAAACUGUGUCCCUUGCGUGCGCGAUGGGUAGGCGGAAUGCGUGGUGUCGCGGU
Molecule: ribosomal RNA, 346 nt
Filed under: uncultured bacterium
Lineage: Bacteria
Description: partial 16S ribosomal RNA
Rfam family: Bacterial small subunit ribosomal RNA
Source: RNAcentral